Molecule: ribosomal RNA, 748 nt
Filed under: Halogeometricum sp. BAB-2992
Lineage: Archaea; Methanobacteriati; Methanobacteriota; Halobacteria; Halobacteriales; Haloferacaceae
Description: bacterial SSU rRNA
Rfam family: Archaeal small subunit ribosomal RNA
Source: RNAcentral
CCGGAGGCCAUUGCUAUCGGAGUUCCGAUUUAGCCCAUGCUAGUUGCACGAGUUCACACUCGUAGCAUAUAGCUCAGUAACACGUGGUCAAGCUACCCUGCAGACACGGACAACCUCGGGAAACUGAGGCUAAUCCGCGAUACCGAUCCCACGCUGGAAUGCCGGGAUCCACAAACGCUCCGGCGCUGCAGGAUGCGGCUGCGGCCGAUUAGGUAGACGGUGGGGUAACGGCCCACCGUGCCGAUAAUCGGUACGGGUUGUGAGAGCAAGAGCCCGGAGACGGAAUCUGAGACAAGAUUCCGGGCCCUACGGGGCGCAGCAGGCGCGAAACCUUUACACUGCACGCAAGUGCGAUAAGGGGACUCCGAGUGCGAGGGCAUAUAGUCCUCGCUUUUGAGAACCGUAAGACGGUUCUCGAAUAAGAGCUGGGCAAGACAAAGUGCCAGAAGCCGCGGUAAUACCGGCAGCUCAAGUGAUGGCCAAUCUUAUUGGGCCUAAAGCGUCCGUAGCUGGCCACGAAAGUCCGUCGGGAAAUCCAUCUGCCCAACAGAUGGGCGUCCGGCGGAAACUUCGUGGCUUGGGACCGGAAGGCUCGAGGGGUACGUCCGGGGUAGGAGUGAAAUCCCGUAAUCCUGGACGGACCGCCGAUGGCGAAAGCACCUCGAGAAGACGGAUCCGACAGUGAGGGACGAAAGCUAGGGUCUCGAACCGGAUUAGAUACCCGGGUAGUCCUAGCCGUAAACAAUGU